UUGCGUACACCACGCACGUCCCAUGCGUGUGUGCGUGCGAGAGGAUAGGAGUGCGCACGCCCCGCAACUACUGUGCGCUUGUGCACGCGCGCAUAGUGCUCAGCAUCCACGCGGGCAGUUCUGCUUCCCCACAGGAUUUCUUCUUAUUUUGCCAUUUUUAUGAUUUUUCUCAAUUUUUUAAAAUUAAUUUAAAUAAGUUAAAUGCGACCA
This 210-nucleotide long non-coding RNA is filed under the name Carica papaya (papaya). RNAcentral's name for it is "long non-coding RNA (CPAP_LNC002247)". The record is from RNAcentral. Lineage: Eukaryota; Viridiplantae; Streptophyta; Magnoliopsida; Brassicales; Caricaceae.